Molecule: non-coding RNA, 86 nt
Filed under: bovine gut metagenome
Description: Glycine riboswitch
Rfam family: Glycine riboswitch aptamer
About the family: This family represents the bacterial glycine riboswitch. Glycine riboswitches usually consist of two metabolite-binding aptamers domains with similar structures in tandem. The aptamers cooperatively bind glycine to regulate the expression of downstream genes.
Source: RNAcentral
GACACUCCGGAGAAUCCCGAAAGGGUGCCGAAGGUGCAACACUCCCGCUUUCCGGGAGCGAAUCUCUCAGGCAAAAGGACGGAAUG